Gracilinanus agilis (Agile Gracile Mouse Opossum) is the source of this 801-nucleotide long non-coding RNA. RefSeq lists it as uncharacterized. Lineage: Eukaryota; Metazoa; Chordata; Mammalia; Didelphimorphia; Didelphidae. The transcript is spliced from 2 exons. The record is from RefSeq and is a predicted model, not a curated record.
GUAUUUUUUAAAUUAUAAAACUUACUAUAUAUUUAAUGUAAAACUUAAUAGAAAGUCAUAUAGUUAAGCAUUAUUUCAAAAAAGGAAAAAAACCAUAUAGAGUAAUACUAAUUAAAGUCCAUAUUACUCUUAAAAUAGAGUUGUACCAAAAUAUCUAACUUUAAUUUUUAUCCACCUUUUCAGGGGGAUGGUCAGAGUGAAAUCAAUUCUAAUAACUUCAGAGGUUAAAAAAAAAAAAGAAACGAACAGGUCUCCGUAUUCAACACUCUGGAUCCACUUAAUUGUGCAUAUGCAAUGCCCAUCAGAGAUGCAUAUAUUGAUGGGUUGGAUGUGUGGGCUAUCCACUCAACUGCUUAUCGUGGUCCAAACAAUACGUAAUUUUUUCCUCCACUUGGUGUGGGUGUGUGUGUGUUGUUAGGCCAAACUUAGGAGUUGUUAUUAUUGAUCUCAUGUAGGAGGCUCAGUAAUGUUCUGAAGUGUGAACCAGUUAGGAUAAUAUCAUCUAAAAACAAACAUUUGGAGGACCUCACCAUCCAUAGAAAAUCCCUCUUUGAUUUAGUUUUUGUACUGGUUAUCAUUCAUGAGAGUGGCAAAUAUUGCUCUUUUGCAUUACCUUUUAUUUACUGCCAUUUAAUACCAUAGUAUUACAAAUACCAUUUCUGUAUCUUAUGUCUAAAUACUUUUAAUCAGAUGGUCUUUAAAGAAAGUUUUUAAGUAAUUGUUUAUAUUUUUAACAAAAAGAUGUAAAAGCUUGUUGGGGGACAUCCUUUUGCUUUACUGAAUUAAACACUUUAAUUGACA